This 257-nucleotide long non-coding RNA is filed under the name Nicotiana benthamiana. RNAcentral describes it as "long non-coding RNA (NBEN_LNC001356)". The record is from RNAcentral. Lineage: Eukaryota; Viridiplantae; Streptophyta; Magnoliopsida; Solanales; Solanaceae.
UUCUAGAGAGGAAUAUUUUUGGAUUUUUGAGGAAACUUCUAGGUUUGGGGUAUAAAAGGGGGGUCCUCUGAUUGAUUUUGGAGAGGAUAUUUUGGGGAGAUAUUUUUUCAGAGGUUGUUUUUGAGAGAAUUUUUUUCGAAAGUUUGGAGAGGUAAACAAAAACAUUUCUAGAGUUCUUGGUUGAUCAGUGUUCUAAAGUUUCCUUCUUCUUUUGGAUUGCUCUUUUUCUUUUUCACAUAUCAGAAUAGUAUAUAUAU